Molecule: ribosomal RNA, 504 nt
Filed under: uncultured bacterium
Lineage: Bacteria
Description: bacterial SSU rRNA
Rfam family: Bacterial small subunit ribosomal RNA
Source: RNAcentral
GAUGAACGCUAGUGGGAGGCCUAACACAUGCAAGCCGAGCGGUAUUGUUUCUUCGGAAAUGAGAGAGCGGCGUACGGGUGCGGAACACGUGUGCAACCUGCCUUUAUCUGGGGGAUAGCCUUUCGAAAGGAAGAUUAAUACUCCAUAAUAUAUUGAACGGCAUCGUUUAAUAUUGAAAGCUCCGGCGGAUAGAGAUGGGCACGCGCAAGAUUAGCUAGUUGGUGAGGUAACGGCUCACCAAGGCAAUGAUCUUUAGGGGGCCUGAGAGGGUGAUCCCCCACACUGGUACUGAGACACGGACCAGACUCCUACGGGAGGCAGCAGUGAGGAAUAUUGGUCAAUGGGUGCAAGCCUGAACCAGCCAUCCCGCGUGAAGGACGACUGCCCUAUGGGUUGUAAACUUCUUUUGUAUAGGGAUAAACCUUUCCACGUGUGGAAAGCUGAAGGUACUAUACGAAUAAGCACCGGCUAACUCCGUGCCAGCAGCCGCGGUAAAAUAGCGUA